CAGACAUGGUUGCCAGAUUGAGCUUACUUGAUUUUGCUAUUUAUAAAAUGAAAAAUGAAAUGGGACAAAUUUUAUGGUUGAUAAUUUUGUCUAGGCUUCAUUUGGUUAUUAUAAAUUGGGAUAGUUUAGCGUAAAUUGGACGGGUUUUAAAUUAUCCCCACUGUUUUGGAAGCAAGUCAAGGCAACCCCGAUGAAAUGAAACCAAAAAUUAUCGGUACACGGCCACGUUCACUUUUAAACACCCGACCAGUUUUUGACACUGCUUUUUGAGAAAUGGCCUCCACAGUGACCACAGAUGCUCAUGGAGUCAGGGUGGUGACCCAGGUCAUUCCUCUGGUGAGUCCAGAGACUGUCCAGUGUCCCGGUCAGAACAAAGACAGCAAGACUAAAGUACCUGAAGCCCCGUACAUGACCAGGAUGUUCCUGAAGGGAGAGCCUGUAGCAUUAGGGACUGUGCAGAUCAUGAUUGGGAUCGUGAUGAUAGCUUUGGGAGCAGUUACUUGGUUCACACAAAUUCUGUAUGGUGAAAUCCCUCUGGGCCUUGGACUAUCAUUUAUCUUCUCUGGAUCUGUAACCUUGGGUGCACACAAGGGAACCUGUCCUCCAAUUAUUAAAAGCACAAUUGCCCUGAACAUCAUCAGUGCUGUACUUGCCAUGUCCGGCAUCUGCUACUUCUGCUUUGCACUUGCCAUAAAAGCUCAUUUGGAUGCUUGUAGUGAUGAUCAUGAGAAAAAGUUCUACUACACCGGCUACUAUGACUGCCAGUUUGCAGCUAGGCGUCUGCAGAACUUAAUAAGCGGAAUAAAGGGCAUACUUUUGAUUUUAUCCGUGCUGGAGGUGUGCGUGUGUACCACAACUGUUGUCUUUUCCUGCAAGGCCAACCUACAUGCAUCUGGGACUAAAAUGGGUGUAUUCCAGCCUUGUGCCCUGUGUUUCAAUGAUAGACUCCACCGUCACCCUGACCAGGAUAUAAUGAUUACUGAAGAAGAAUGAAUACAUGGAUUAUCCACUCUAACUACAUUUGUUAAAAUGUAGCUAAAACUACACCAUCUUGCCAUAACUUUCCUCCUUCCAUAAAACAUAUUGACAUCUACCUAAAAAUACAUCUCAGUUAUGUUCACUGUAACCAAGAUUAUGCACUUCAUAUAUUUUCCCUAAUAAGCUGUUGUCAUUUAUGCAUAAUACAUAGUUUUUAAUCAAU
Ictalurus punctatus (channel catfish) is the source of this 1201-nucleotide long non-coding RNA. The record is from Ensembl. NCBI's taxonomy places the organism in Eukaryota, Metazoa, Chordata, Actinopteri, Siluriformes, Ictaluridae.